UCCUUCUUUUUCUCUCUUUCCUCGGAAUUACUGGGCGUAAAGCGUGCGCAGGCGUAUUGUUAAGCAAGAUGUGAAAUCCCCGGGCUUAACCUGGGAAUGGCAUUUUGAGCUGGCAGUCUAGAGUGUGUCAGAGGGGGGUGGAAUUCCACGUGUAGCAGUGAAAUGCGUAGAUAUGUGGAGGAACACCAAUGGCGAAGGCAGCCCCCUGGGAUAACACUGACGCUCAUGUACGAAAGCGUGGGUAGCAAACAGG
This 253-nucleotide ribosomal RNA is filed under the name uncultured bacterium. RNAcentral describes it as "partial 16S ribosomal RNA". It matches the Rfam family "Bacterial small subunit ribosomal RNA", at positions 547 to 776 of the family's 1533-position model. The record is from RNAcentral.